AUUGAACGCUGGCGGCAUGCCUUACACAUGCAAGUCGAACGGCAGCACGGGUGCUUGCCCCUGGUGGCGAGUGGCGAACGGGUGAGUAAUACAUCGGAACAUGUCCUGUAGUGGGGGAUAGCCCGGCGAAAGCCGGAUUAAUACCGCAUACGAUCUACGGCUGAAAGCGGGGGCCCUUCGGGCCUCGCGCUAUAGGGUUGGCCGAUAGCUGAUUAGCUAGUUGGUGGGGUAAAGGCCUACCAAGGCGACGAUCAGUAGCUGGUCUGAGAGGACGACCAGCCACACUGGGACUGAGACACGGCCCAGACUCCUACGGGAGGCAGCAGUGGGGAAUUUUGGACAAUGGGCGAAAGCCUGAUCCAGCAAUGCCGCGUGUGUGAAGAAGGCCUUCGGGUUGUAAAGCACUUUUGUCCGGAAAGAAAUCCUUGGCUCUAAUACAGUCGGGGGAUGACGGUACCGGAAGAAUAAGCACCGGCUAACUACGUG
Molecule: ribosomal RNA, 486 nt
Filed under: uncultured bacterium
Lineage: Bacteria
Description: partial 16S ribosomal RNA
Rfam family: Bacterial small subunit ribosomal RNA
Source: RNAcentral